CCUACGGGAGGCAGCAGUGAGGAAUAUUGGUCAAUGGACGAGAGUCUGAACCAGCCAAGUAGCGUGAAGGAUGACUGCCCUAUGGGUUGUAAACUUCUUUUAUAUGGGAAUAAAACGUUCCACGUGUGGGAUUUUGUAUGUACCAUCUGAAUAAGGAUCGGCUAACUCCGUGCCAGCAGCCGCGGUAAUACGGAGGAUCCGAGCGUUAUCCGGAUUUAUUGGGUUUAAAGGGAGCGUAGGUGGAUUGGUAAGUCAGUUGUGAAAGUUUGCGGCUCAACCGUAAAAUUGCAGUUGAAACUGGCAGUCUUGAGUACAGUAGAGGUGGGCGGAAUUCGUGGUGUAGCGGUGAAAUGCUUAGAUAUCACGAAGAACUCCGAUUGCGAAGGCAGUUCACUGGACUGCAACUGACACUGAGGCUCGAAAGUGUGGGUAUCAAACAGGAUUAGAUACCCUGGUAGUC
Molecule: ribosomal RNA, 460 nt
Filed under: uncultured bacterium
Lineage: Bacteria
Description: partial 16S ribosomal RNA
Rfam family: Bacterial small subunit ribosomal RNA
Source: RNAcentral